This 90-nucleotide transfer RNA is filed under the name Patescibacteria group bacterium. Its description in RNAcentral is "tRNA-Ser". It matches the Rfam family "tRNA". From Rfam's summary of the family: Transfer RNA (tRNA) molecules are approximately 80 nucleotides in length. The record is from RNAcentral.
GGAGAGGUCGCAUAGUGGCCUAGUGCAGCGGUUUUGAAAACCGCCAGGGGCGAAAGCUUCUCGCGAGUUCGAAUCUCGCCCUCUCCGCCA